RNAcentral lists this ribosomal RNA (404 nucleotides) under uncultured bacterium. RNAcentral's name for it is "bacterial SSU rRNA". It matches the Rfam family "Bacterial small subunit ribosomal RNA", at positions 355 to 776 of the family's 1533-position model. The record is from RNAcentral.
UGGGGAAUAUUGCGCAAUGGGGGAAACCCUGACGCAGCAACGCCGCGUGCGGGAUGAAGGCCUUCGGGUUGUAAACCGCUUUCAGCAGGGAAGAUACAAGACGGUACCUGCAGAAGAAGCCCCGGCUAACUACGUGCCAGCAGCCGCGGUAAUACGUAGGGGGCAAGCGUUAUCCGGAUUCAUUGGGCGUAAAGCGCGCGCAGGCGGGCUGCUAAGCGGGACCUCUAAUCCAAGGGCUCAACCUUUGGCCGGGUCCCGAACUGGCAGCCUCGAGUGCGGUAGGGGAGGUCGGAAUUCCCGGUGUAGCGGUGGAAUGCGCAGAUAUCGGGAAGAACACCGAUGGCGAAGGCAGACCUCUGGGCCGACACUGACGCUGAGGCGCGAAAGCUAGGGGAGCGAACAGG